RNAcentral lists this ribosomal RNA (473 nucleotides) under uncultured bacterium. Its description in RNAcentral is "bacterial SSU rRNA". It matches the Rfam family "Bacterial small subunit ribosomal RNA", at positions 335 to 803 of the family's 1533-position model. The record is from RNAcentral.
ACUCCUACGGGAGGCAGCAGUGGGGAAUAUUGCACAAUGGGGGAAACCCUGAUGCAGCCAUGCCGCGUGUGUGAAGAAGGCCUUCGGGUUGUAAAGCACUUUCAGUGGGGAGGAAAGGUUGUUGGUUAAUACCUAACAGCUGUGACGUUACCCACAGAAGAAGCACCGGCUAACUCCGUGCCAGCAGCCGCGGUAAUACGGAGGGCGCAAGCGUUACUCGGAAUCACUGGGCGUAAAGAGCGUGUAGGCGGAUAGAUAAGUCAGGAGUGAAAUCCUAUGGCUCAACCAUAGAACUGCUCUUGAAACUGUCAAUCUAGAGUAUGGGAGAGGUAGAUGGAAUUUCUGGUGUAGGGGUAAAAUCCGUAGAGAUCAGAAGGAAUACCGAUUGCGAAGGCGAUCUACUGGAACAUAACUGACGCUGAGACGCGAAAGCGUGGGGAGCAAACAGGAUUAGAUACCCUGGUAGGCGUAGU